Molecule: ribosomal RNA, 253 nt
Filed under: uncultured bacterium
Lineage: Bacteria
Description: partial 16S ribosomal RNA
Rfam family: Bacterial small subunit ribosomal RNA
Source: RNAcentral
UACAGAGGUCCCAAGCGUUGUUCGGAUUCACUGGGCGUAAAGGGUGCGUAGGCGGUGAGGCAAGUCUGAUGUGAAAGCUUCGAGCUCAACUCGGAAAAGGCAUUGGAAACUGCCCUGCUGGAGGCCUGGAGGGGGGACUGGAAUACUUGGUGUAGCAGUGAAAUGCGUAGAGAUCAAGUGGAACACCAGUGGCGAAGGCGAGUCCCUGGACAGGACCUGACGCUGAGGCACGAAAGCCAGGGGAGCAAACGGG